RNAcentral lists this ribosomal RNA (490 nucleotides) under uncultured bacterium. Its description in RNAcentral is "partial 16S ribosomal RNA". It matches the Rfam family "Bacterial small subunit ribosomal RNA", at positions 28 to 507 of the family's 1533-position model. The record is from RNAcentral.
GAUGAACGCUAGCUACAGGCUUAACACAUGCAAGUCGCGGGGCAGCAUGGGGGUUGCUUGCAAUCCCCGAUGGCGACCGGCGCACGGGUGAGUAACGCGUAUUCAACCUGCCCUUCACCACGGGAUAACCCGGCGAAAGUCGGACUAAUACCGUAUGUUGUCCAUUGACGGCAUCCGAUUUGGACGAAAGGCUUGGCGGUGAGGGAUGGGGAUGCGUCCGAUUAGCCAGACGGCGGGGUAACGGCCCACCGUGGCUACGAUCGGUAGGGGUUCUGAGAGGAAGGUCCCCCACACUGGAACUGAGACACGGUCCAGACUCCUACGGGAGGCAGCAGUGAGGAAUAUUGGUCAAUGGGCGUAAGCCUGAACCAGCCAAGUAGCGUGCAGGAUGACGGCCCUAUGGGUUGUAAACUGCUUUUAUGCGGGGAUAAGGUGGCCCACGUGUGGGCUUUUGCAGGUACCGCAUGAAUAAGGACCGGCUAAUUCCGUG